CGAGGUGUUGCACAGCCCGGUAGUGCGCUACGUUCGGGACGUAGAUGUCGCAGGUUCAAAUCCUGUCACCUCGACCA
Molecule: transfer RNA, 77 nt
Filed under: Oscillospiraceae bacterium
Lineage: Bacteria; Bacillati; Bacillota; Clostridia; Eubacteriales; Oscillospiraceae
Description: tRNA-Pro
Rfam family: tRNA
About the family: Transfer RNA (tRNA) molecules are approximately 80 nucleotides in length. Their secondary structure includes four short double-helical elements and three loops (D, anti-codon, and T loops). Further hydrogen bonds mediate the characteristic L-shaped molecular structure. tRNAs have two regions of fundamental functional importance: the anti-codon, which is responsible for specific mRNA codon recognition, and the 3' end, to which the tRNAs corresponding amino acid is attached (by aminoacyl-tRNA synthetases). tRNAs cope with the degeneracy of the genetic code in two manners: having more than one tRNA (with a specific anti-codon) for a particular amino acid; and 'wobble' base-pairing, i.e. permitting non-standard base-pairing at the 3rd anti-codon position.
Source: RNAcentral